UACGGGGGGGGCAAGCGUUGUUCGGAAUUACUGGGCGUAAAGGGCGCGUAGGCGGCCUUCUAAGUCGGACGUGAAAUCCCCGGGCUCAACCCGGGAACUGCGUCCGAUACUGGGAGGCUCGAAUCCGGGAGAGGGAUGUGGAAUUCCAGGUGUAGCGGUGAAAUGCGUAGAUAUCUGGAGGAACACCGGUGGCGAAGGCGGCAUCCUGGACCGGUAUUGACGCUGAGGCGCGAAAGCCAGGGGAGCAAACGGG
RNAcentral lists this ribosomal RNA (253 nucleotides) under uncultured bacterium. Its description in RNAcentral is "partial 16S ribosomal RNA". It matches the Rfam family "Bacterial small subunit ribosomal RNA", at positions 524 to 776 of the family's 1533-position model. The record is from RNAcentral.